AAGGUUUCCGUAGGUGAACCUGCGGAAGGAUCAUUAUUGAAUACACACAGGAUUGUUGCUGGCUAGAUUCAUUUCUAGCAUCGUGCACAUCUAUCUUCCACACACACACUUGUGAACUUAUUGUAGAUCGCAAGAUCUAUGUCUUUAAUUCAUCACAUAUCCAUCGUAUGUCUACAGAAUGUUACAAAUAUAAUACAACUUUCAGCAAUGGAUCUCUUGGUUCUCGCAUCGAUGAAGAACGCAGCGAAUUGCGAUACGUAAUGUGAAUUGCAGAUUUUCAGUGAAUCAUCGAAUCUUUGAACGCACCUUGCGCCCCUUGGUAUUCCGAGGGGCAUGCCUGUUUGAGUGUCAUUUAAUUAUCAACCAAUUUAGUCUUUGAUUAGACUUUUUUGGAUUGGAGUUGGGAAUUGCUGGUCUUAACAAAGGAUCAGCUGUCCUUAAAUGCAGUAGCAAGUGAAAGUGAUUUUACGUGGCACGGCCUUUGACGUGAUAAUGAUCGUUGUGGGCUGGAAGCGUUUAAUUAAGCUAGUAGUUUGCUUUAAUUAUAUAACGAGUGAAUUUCUAUGUGCAUACGGCUGGAAAGCAUUAGUAAUGGAAGCUUGAGCGGAAAGUAAGCUAUGUUGUAAAAGGCAUAGUAAAUGUGGAAGCUUGAGUGAAAGUGAGAAUGUGUAGUAGGCUGGAAGGCAUAGCAUUGAAGCUAGUUAAACAAGGAAUUGAAAAAUAACCUGUGGAAUAUUUCUAUGUGCAUAGCAUAGUUAUUGAGAAACUAGUGAAAAAGUAAAUUCCGACCGAAAGUGACCUCAAAUCAGGAGACACAU
This 818-nucleotide ribosomal RNA is filed under the name Leccinum pachyderme. RNAcentral describes it as "eukaryotic LSU rRNA". The stretch from base 197 to 351 matches the Rfam family "5.8S ribosomal RNA". The record is from RNAcentral. Lineage: Eukaryota; Fungi; Basidiomycota; Agaricomycetes; Boletales; Boletaceae.